GUGCUACGCGUGAGUUGACCGCCUGGGGAGUACGGUCGCAAGAUUAAAACUCAAAGGAAUUGACGGGGACCCGCACAAGCGGUGGAUGAUGUGGAUUAAUUCGAUGCAACGCGAAAAACCUUACCUACCCUUGACAUGGUCGGAAUCCUNGAGAGAUCUGGGAGUGCUCGAAAGAGAACCGAUACACAGGUGCUGCAUGGCUGUCGUCAGCUCGUGUCGUGAGAUGUUGGGUUAAGUCCCGCAACGAGCGCAACCCUUGUCCUUAGUUGCUACGCAAGAGCACUCUAGGGAGACUGCCGGUGACAAACCGGAGGAAGGUGGGGAUGACGUCAAGUCCUCAUGGCCCUUAUGGGUAGGGCUUCACACGUCAUACAAUGGUCGGAACAGAGGGUCGCCAACCCGCGAGGGGGAGCUAAUCCCAAAAAAUGGAUCGGAACUCGGAUUGCGCUCUGCUUCUCGAGUGCGUUAAGCUGGAAAUCGAAAUGAAUCCCAA
RNAcentral lists this ribosomal RNA (493 nucleotides) under Burkholderia gladioli. RNAcentral's name for it is "bacterial SSU rRNA". It matches the Rfam family "Bacterial small subunit ribosomal RNA", at positions 848 to 1347 of the family's 1533-position model. Lineage: Bacteria; Pseudomonadati; Pseudomonadota; Betaproteobacteria; Burkholderiales; Burkholderiaceae. The record is from RNAcentral.